CGGGAUGUGGCUCAGUCUGGUAGAGUACUCGCUUCGGGAGCGAGGGGUCGGAGGUUCAAAUCCUCUCAUCCCGACCA
Molecule: transfer RNA, 77 nt
Filed under: Nitrospinota bacterium
Lineage: Bacteria; Pseudomonadati; Nitrospinota
Description: tRNA-Pro
Rfam family: tRNA
About the family: Transfer RNA (tRNA) molecules are approximately 80 nucleotides in length. Their secondary structure includes four short double-helical elements and three loops (D, anti-codon, and T loops). Further hydrogen bonds mediate the characteristic L-shaped molecular structure. tRNAs have two regions of fundamental functional importance: the anti-codon, which is responsible for specific mRNA codon recognition, and the 3' end, to which the tRNAs corresponding amino acid is attached (by aminoacyl-tRNA synthetases). tRNAs cope with the degeneracy of the genetic code in two manners: having more than one tRNA (with a specific anti-codon) for a particular amino acid; and 'wobble' base-pairing, i.e. permitting non-standard base-pairing at the 3rd anti-codon position.
Source: RNAcentral